Molecule: long non-coding RNA, 1217 nt
Organism: Amphiprion ocellaris (clown anemonefish)
Lineage: Eukaryota; Metazoa; Chordata; Actinopteri; Pomacentridae
Exons: 2
Source: RefSeq, a predicted model, not a curated record
CAAAGAAAAGGUCAAAGAACUGGGAAUCAGUUUCAUAUUCAACCCACCUGCUUCAAGUCACAUGGGAGGAGUCUGGGAGAGACAGAUUCGAACAAUACGAAAUGUUCUCAGAUCCAUUCUCGACCAGUCAACUUCAAGAUUAGACACUUCAUCGUUGCGAACAUUCAUGUAUGAAGCUAUGGCGAUAGUGAAUAGCCGUCCACUAUCAGUCGAGUGCAUCAACGAUCCAGUCGGACCAGAGCCACUCACACCAAAUCAUAUUUUGACAAUGAAAUCAACAGUGAUAUCACCACCGCCCGGAGAAUUCGUCAAAGAAGAUCUCUACCUGCAGAAAAGAUGGAAAAGAGUGCAGUAUUUGGCGAACAUAUUUUGGACUAGAUGGAGAAAGGAAUAUCUGUUAAACCUGCAACAGAGAAGUAAGUGGAAUAAGAACAGAAGAAACACAAAAGUCAAUGACAUUGUUCUUCUACAAGAAGAUUGUGUUCCAAGAAACCAGUGGAAACUCGCCAAGGUCGUAGAAGUCACUCCAGGAGCUGACGACAGAGUCAGAAAGGUCAAGCUUCUCAUCAGUGACACUACUCGGGACAAUAAAGGAGCACGUUCAACUAAGACUGUUUUAGAAAGGCCAAUACAUAAGACUAUACUUUUGCUAGAAGCAGAGUAAGGACUUAUAAGUGUGUUUAUUUGCUAAAGUUCGUAAGUUCAUGUUGUGUUAACUUCUAUUUAGGAUCACACAUACAGUAGAAGUAGUGUGAUGGUGGGAGUGUAACAGCUGCUGAAGUAAAGUUAACUUCAUCGUUUUACCACUAGGAGGAGCUGUCGCAUUGGUAAUGCUAAAAGUAAUUUGCUUGGUGCGCAGUUAAUUUGUAUAAAUAUUGUUUUUAUUUUCCUAAUAUUGUAAAGUGCUUAUUAGGCCAAGGUAAUGCAUACUAGUGAUAAUAAUUGGGUUUAAACUAAUAUAAAAAUUGUAAAUGCUAAGUCAUGUGAGAGGGCACGGCCAGGUUACUUCCUGUUUUGUUGCUAAGCUAAAGAGAAGCAGCCGACACGGCAGACAAGGCUCCCGACCGAGUGUUAAAUAAAAGUAUAAAAGAAAAGAAAUAAGCAACUUCCCAAGUUCACACCGUUUGCUCACUUAGCAGGCCAAAGUGUUCUACGGUGUACUCUGUGAUGUUAAAGCCUCAAGAAAGUCACAGUAAAACAUCAGUAAAAGAAAAGAA